GUCCUUUUGUACUCUCCCCAUCUACAUUUCCAAUCACUAAUCCUAUUGUUUUAUAGAAAUUCAAGGUCUAUGGGACACCUGAGAACAGCCUAUUCAAUUAAUUUAUGUUAGAAAUUAUUGGCUUGCUUCCUUUUAACAUAUUCAAGGACCUCUCAGCUUUCCACAAAAAAUAUCUCUGAAAAAUGAAAAAAAAAAUCUCAUAAGAAUAAAAAAAUAGGACUUUCAUAAAAAUUACUAGAACACAGGAGGAAAUUUCUACAGGUUGAAAUACAUAUAGGAAUAAAAUGAGAACUACAAUUGCCUGAUUUUUUUGUCACAAUUGCCUGAUAACACACUUUUGCUAUAUUAAAAUAAUACACAAAGAACUGAAAGUUUUGGUAGGAGACACUGCAUCCCUAACGUCCCCUUUUCAAACUCUGGCUCGUCAUGGAUGCAGGGUUCUAGCUAGCAGGCAGCUACGCAUCUCAGUCGUGCUACGUGUAGCGAAGGUUCCCACAUCUGCUCAACCACCCCUUCCCAGCAUCGGUUUAAUUCUACAGAUCCCCUGAAAAUAACGAACUAUGACUGGUAGAAAUAUCGUGUUCUAAGCUUUAUAGAUUCUAUUGGGGGUAUUGAACACCAGACAAAUCAUGUAUUGAAGACUGCCAGUAUUCAUGUACUCCACUGGAUUUUAUUAUCAGAGCAGAUGUGUGUGACCCCAGGAAUGGAAGGGGACUCAGCACGACGAGAGAGAGCUGGACCAAGAUGCAGGCGAACUGCUCACUUUUCUUGGAAAGACGAUGGACUUAGAAGUCAAUGAAACCUGUCUGAACCUCAGCUGUUCGGGACUUUUCAGCCCCGAGCAUGUUACUCACCUCACACGGCCUGGUUUCCUUUUCUGAAAUUUGACAGAACCAAAACAUAUCAGGGUCUGCGUAGCAAACUGUACAGUAAAUACUCCAUAAAUAUUCAUUCUCCCCUUCAAUUCUUCUGAAAAGAC
Molecule: non-coding RNA, 979 nt
Organism: Microcebus murinus (gray mouse lemur)
Lineage: Eukaryota; Metazoa; Chordata; Mammalia; Primates; Cheirogaleidae
Source: RefSeq, a predicted model, not a curated record